RNAcentral lists this unclassified non-coding RNA (294 nucleotides) under Hevea brasiliensis (rubber tree). Lineage: Eukaryota; Viridiplantae; Streptophyta; Magnoliopsida; Malpighiales; Euphorbiaceae. The record is from RNAcentral.
GGACGAGGUGAGGAGGAGCUGCAGAAGACGUGGAGGUGGAAGUGGAAGAGGAGGAAGAAGAAGAAGAAGAAGAUAAAGAUGAAGAAGAAUUUGAAGGAGCAUACCCAGAAGUGUUAGGAGCUGAGGAAGCAAGACCAUGAUGUUGGCGGUGGUGGACGUGAGAAGCAUGAGACAAGUCAGCUUGGAUAGAGAUGGAGCCCAUGAAGGGGCCUGGAGAUGGUCCUCCUGAUGAUCUGCCAUCAAACAAAACUUGGUGGUGGUGUUGUUGCUGGUGGUGAGAUUGGUGGGGUUCUU